AACGAACGCUGGCGGCGUGCCUAACACAUGCAAGUCGAGCGAGAAAGUCCCGGCAACGGGAUGAGUAAAGCGGCAAACGGGUGAGUAACGCGUGGGUAAUCUACCCUACGGAUCGGGAUAACCUGCCGAAAGGUGGACUAAUACCGGAUGAUGUUCUCGCGGUGAUUCCGUGGGAACCAAAGGGGGCGAGCGUAAGCAGCUCUCACCGAAGGAGGAGCCUGCGUCCGAUUAGCUAGUUGGUGGGGUAAUGGCCUACCAAGGCGACGAUCGGUAGCCGGCCUGAGAGGGCGAUCGGCCACACUGGAACUGAGACACGGUCCAGACUCCUACGGGAGGCAGCAGUGGGGAAUAUUGCGCAAUGGGCGAAAGCCUGACGCAGCGACGCCGCGUGGGUGAUGAAGGCCUUCGGGUCGUAAACCCUGUCUGGUGGAACGAAACGCCUGGCGGCUAAUACCUGCCGGGUUUGACGGUACCACCGAAGGAAGCCCCGGCUAACUACGUGCCAGCAGCCGCGGUAAGACGUAGGGGGCGAGCGUUGUUCGGAUUUACUGGGCGUAAAGCGCGCGUAGGCGGCCAGAUAAGUCGGGUGUGAAAGCCCUCGGCUCAACCGAGGUUCCACAUCCGAUACUGCUUGGCUGGAGUCUAGGAGAGGAGAGCGGAAUUCCCAGUGUAGCGGUGAAAUGCGUAGAUAUUGGGAGGAACACCCGUGGCGAAGGCGGCUCUCUGGACUAGUACUGACGCUGAGGCGCGAAAGCUAGGGGAGCGAACGGGAUUAGAUACCCCGGUAGUCCUAGCCGUAAACGAUGGGCACUAGGUGUGGGAGGUAUUGACCCCUUCCGCGCCGAAGCUAACGCAUUAAGUGCCCCGCCUGGGGAGUACGGCCGCAAGGCUAAAACUCAAAGGAAUUGACGGGGGCCCGCACAAGCGGUGGAGCAUGUGGUUCAAUUCGACGCAACGCGAAGAACCUUACCGGGGCUUGACAUCCCACGAACCUGCCUGAAAGGGCGGGGUGCCCGCAAGGGAGCGUGGAGACAGGUGGUGCAUGGCUGUCGUCAGCUCGUGUCGUGAGAUGUUGGGUUAAGUCCCGCAACGAGCGCAACCCUCACCCCUAGUUGCCACCGGGUAAUGCCGAGCACUCGAGGGGAACUGCCAGCGUCAAGCUGGAGGAAGGCGGGGAUGACGUCAAGUCAUCAUGCCCCUUACGCCCUGGGCUACACACGUGCUACAAUGGCCGGUACAAAGGGAUGCGAGACCGUGAGGUGGAGCCAAUCCCAAAAAGCUGGUCUAAGUUCGGAUUGCAGUCUGCAACUCGACUGCAUGAAGUAGGAAUCGCUAGUAAUCGCGCACAGCUACGGCGCGGUGAAUACGUUCCCGGGCCUUGUACACACCGCCCGUCACACCACGAAAGCUGGCUGUACUCGAAGUCGCUGAGCCAACCCGCAAGGGAGGCAGGCGCCGAAGGUAUGGUUAGUGAUUGGGGUG
This 1482-nucleotide ribosomal RNA is filed under the name uncultured bacterium. RNAcentral's name for it is "bacterial SSU rRNA". It matches the Rfam family "Bacterial small subunit ribosomal RNA". The record is from RNAcentral.